CGAACGGGUGAGUAACGCGUGAGGAACCUGCCUCAAAGAGGGGGACGAACAGUUGGAAACGACUGCUAAUACCGCAUAAGCCCACCGGGUCGGGCAUCGACCAGAGGGAAAAGGAGCAAUCCGCUUUGAGAUGGCCUCGCGUCCGAUUAGCUAGUUGGUGAGGUAAUGGCCCACCAAGGCAACGAUCGGUAGCCGGACUGAGAGGUUGAACGGCCACAUUGGGACUGAGACACGGCCCAGACUCCUACGGGAGGCAGCAUG
RNAcentral lists this ribosomal RNA (261 nucleotides) under uncultured bacterium. RNAcentral's name for it is "partial 16S ribosomal RNA". It matches the Rfam family "Bacterial small subunit ribosomal RNA", at positions 99 to 353 of the family's 1533-position model. The record is from RNAcentral.